CUUUAUGGCUUUGGACACUGUCCUCCGUGUCCGUCGCGCGAAACCUAACCCCCAGGGGCGGGUCCUCGGACCCGCAAAGUGUGACUUCACUCGUCUGGCCAUGCUUGAAGCUCGCAGACUGCAAAGCUGAAUGUUGAGAAGCAGCACCGGCACUCAGGCCCGCGGAAAGUCACGUGCUAGAGUUACCUCUCUCCAGGUGGUGUCGCUGUUGCCACACGCAGCGACCGCAAAGACGCCAUCGUUGGAAGGCCUGGUGCGCGGAGUGGUCCAGCGGACAUCACCCAGCACAUUGUCUCAGGUGAAGAAUGCGCCCUUCAGCCCUAUGAGGCUCUUGUCAUCGAAACCGGGAGACUCCACUUGUCCAAGUCCCGCGUCCUGCAUGAGAAGCUGGAGCCCACGGAACUAGUCACCCAAUUUUGGAAAAUCACUGGCAGCUCAGGGAUGUCAGAGCUUGGUCCCAAACCACCAGCAUCCUUCUCGGUAGACACCGUUGUUAAUGCUUGGAUUCAACUGCACUUAUGCUAUCACUGUCCAAUUCAAGGUGGCUUAAUGCGAGCUUCUUGCCUUUAGAUCCCCAGCUCGACUCUAGGGGCAUUCAGUGCCUGGUCCUCAUUGCCCCGCCAAUGCAAAAUAUGUGGGAACUACUUCUUUAAUAAAUAAAAUUGAACAC
Molecule: long non-coding RNA, 670 nt
Filed under: Mus caroli (Ryukyu mouse)
Lineage: Eukaryota; Metazoa; Chordata; Mammalia; Rodentia; Muridae
Description: lncRNA (MGP_CAROLIEiJ_G0002625.1)
Source: RNAcentral